Molecule: ribosomal RNA, 497 nt
Filed under: uncultured soil bacterium
Lineage: Bacteria
Description: bacterial SSU rRNA
Rfam family: Bacterial small subunit ribosomal RNA
Source: RNAcentral
AGGACGAACGCUGGCGGCGUGCUUAACACAUGCAAGUCGAGCGGUAAGGCCUCUUCGGGGGUACACGAGCGGCGAACGGGUGAGUAACACGUGGGUGACCUGCCCUUAGCUCUGGGAUAAGCCUGGGAAACUGGGUCUAAUACCGGAUAUGACUUGGCCUCGCAUGGGGUUGGGUGGAAAGUCCUGGGCUUUGUUGUCUGGGUUCGGCUGGGGAUGGGCCCGCGGCCUAUCAGCUUGUUGGUGGGGUGAUGGCUUACCAAGGCGACGACGGGUAGCCGGCCUGAGAGGGCGACCGGCCACACUGGGACUGAGACACGGCCCAGACUCCUACGGGAGGCAGCAGUGGGGAAUAUUGCGCAAUGGGCGGAAGCCUGACGCAGCGACGCCGCGUGGGAUGACGGCCUUCGGGUGUAAACCUCUUUCGUCAUCGACGAAGGCCUCGGUUGACGGUAGGUGGAGAAGAAGACGACCGCCGAACUACGUGCCACGCGAGCCGC